GGGAAGGCAAUGUAACGGCCUCUCCCCCCGCCCCUCCCUCCCCGCUCCCGCCCCCCACCCACAGACCGGCUCCAGGCAGCGCCCGGGGCGGCGGCGGAGGCGGUGGCAGCGGCGGGGUGCGGGCUGAGGGAGCCGGGCCUCGACGCCCCCCCUCACCCCCGUGCCCCAGGAGCGGUACCUGGUCCCUGAGGGGCUGGGGGGGCCCCAUGGAGCCGAAGGUGGCGUUCCGCGGAGGUGCGAACCGCUGCUGUGGCCUCGGCGCCGACGCCAGCCGGCUCCCGGACGUCUUCAGCAGCGUGAUGUUGACCGGCUCCACUUCCUUCUACGACUGCUACAAGUCGCAGGUCCAGCGGCCCCUGCCCUUGCUCGCGAGUGUAUCCCAAAUCGGAUCCAUUUACCCCGGCCGAUCCACAUCGGUCUUAAAUUGCUCCAAGUUUAGGACCAGAAAGCGAGGAACAGCAGGUUAAAUACAGGGUUUGCAGAAUACGUACUUUGCUUUGAAAACAAGGAUUACGAUUUUUCAUUGAUUCUUGUUUUCAUCUGGCCCUCAGCAUAGCAUGAUGCCAGAAAUGUAAGAAAAUCCCUGUUUGCGUAGGAAGACCACAAAAUAUUUUUUCCUUCAAGCAUUUAUUGCAAGUUAGUAGAAACAUAAAUUUUGAUAGUUUGAAGGUGAAGUUUUUUCACUCGUUUAUUCUCUGGCUUUAACACUGUCUUAGGUUACAUGCUACCUUUUACUUCACCGAAAACGUUUAAUUUUGUUAGCCAUAUUAAAUUAGUCUUAGGGUAACGUAAGUCAUUUUCAUUUAAAAGUAUUUAACCAGGACGUCAAUGUUGAUAUUGUUCGCUUUGAAUUAUAACAAUACCUUGAAAUAAAUUAUUUAAUCCACACUGCAGCCUUGUAUAGUAUUAUGCCCGCUGUACAGACUGAGAAACUGAGGCUGGGAGAGCUUGUUUUGUGCCCUGAGUGACAAAACCCAAGUGGAACCCAGGUCUUUUCACUGCCAAGACCAGGAUUCCCCUGCUGUCUGUAAUGUUUAUAUCGCUGCUAAAAUUUACUUGAAUUUAAUUUCAGUUGAUUG
RNAcentral lists this long non-coding RNA (1079 nucleotides) under Equus asinus (donkey). Its description in RNAcentral is "lncRNA (ENSEASG00005033661.1)". The record is from RNAcentral. Lineage: Eukaryota; Metazoa; Chordata; Mammalia; Perissodactyla; Equidae.